GAUGAACGCUGGCGGCGUGCCUAAUACAUGCAAGUCGAGCGAACAGACGAUGAGCUUGCUCCUCUGACGUUAGCGGCGGACGUGUGUGUAACACGUGGAUAACCUACCUAUAAGACUGGGAUAACUUCGGGAAACCGGAGCUUAUACCGGAGAAUAUAUUGAACCGCAGGGGUCAAUAGUGAAAGACGGUUUUGCUGUCACUUCUAGAUGGAUCCGCGCCGUAUGAUCUGGUUGGGAAGGUAACGGGUUUCCAAGGGAACGAUGCGUAUCCGAAGUGAGAGGGUGAUAGGCCACAUGGGAGCGGGACCAGGGACAAGACUACUACGGGAGGCAGCAGUAGGGUAUCUUACGCAGUAGGCGAGAGCCUGGCGGAGCAGCGCCGCGUGAGUGAUGAAAGUCUUCGGAUCGUAAAACUGUGUUAUUAGUGAAAAACAAAUGUGUAAGUAACUAUGCACGUAUUGACGGUAACUAAUCAGAAAGCCCCGGCUAACUACGUG
Molecule: ribosomal RNA, 497 nt
Filed under: uncultured bacterium
Lineage: Bacteria
Description: partial 16S ribosomal RNA
Rfam family: Bacterial small subunit ribosomal RNA
Source: RNAcentral